RNAcentral lists this ribosomal RNA (381 nucleotides) under uncultured bacterium. Its description in RNAcentral is "partial 16S ribosomal RNA". It matches the Rfam family "Bacterial small subunit ribosomal RNA", at positions 355 to 723 of the family's 1533-position model. The record is from RNAcentral.
UGGGGAAUUUUGGACAAUGGGGGAACCCAUGAUCCAGCCAUCCCGCGUGUGCGAUGAAGGCCUUCGGGUUGUAAAGCACUUUUGGCAGGAAAGAAACGUCGCGGGUUAAUACCCCGCGGAACUGACGGUACCUGCAGAAUAAGCACCGGCUAACUACGUGCCAGCAGGCCGCGGUAAUACGUAGGGUGCAAGCGUUAAUCGGAAUUACUGGGGCGUAAAGCGUGCGCAGGCGGUUCGGAAAGAAAGAUGUGAAAUCCCAGAGCUUAAUCUUUGGAACUGCAUUUUUAACUACCGGGCUAGGAGUGUGUCAGAGGGAGGGUGGAAUUCCGCGUGUANCAGUGAAAUGCGUAGAUAUGCGGAGGAACACCGAUGGCGAAGGCA